This is a long non-coding RNA of Saccostrea echinata, 324 nucleotides long. RefSeq lists it as uncharacterized. The record is from RefSeq and is a predicted model, not a curated record. The transcript is spliced from 3 exons. Lineage: Eukaryota; Metazoa; Mollusca; Bivalvia; Ostreida; Ostreidae.
UAAUCACGUGACUCAAGGCCAUGUGCUAGUAUCAACAGUGCGGCAGUGCCAGUGAAAAUCAGGCGGUAUGCCGGAGCAACACAGAGUCUUGAUUUUUAGAGGCAAGGUUGAAAGAAAGAAAUCAGUGUUGUAAAGAAAGAAAAAGAUUUUCCACUCAAAGAAUUUUGGAUGACACAGAGGGUUCAGGAACCAUAAAUUUGAUGUUGGAGUCUUAACUUCACCCUGAUAGACUUUGAGCACGUCAUGAGUUUAAGACCUAUUGACAAAAAUCUUGCAAUGGGAAGAUAACACAGCCUUGAUAAAAAUCAGAGAAAUCUCGAUAGA